This is a long non-coding RNA of Polyodon spathula (Mississippi paddlefish), 513 nucleotides long. RefSeq lists it as uncharacterized. The transcript is spliced from 3 exons. NCBI's taxonomy places the organism in Eukaryota, Metazoa, Chordata, Actinopteri, Acipenseriformes, Polyodontidae. The record is from RefSeq and is a predicted model, not a curated record.
GUCUUUGUGAGGGAAAGAAGAACACUCAUUUUAUUUCACACAACACGGCAGCUGUUGGGCUAGGACUGUCUUGAGCAGAGUUACAGAGCGAGGGAGAGAGAGAGAGAGAGAGAGAGAGAGAGAGAGAGAGACGGUGUGUGAGCUAGCAGGAGCAGCCAUUGGGUGAUCUACUCAAUCUGGGUCACUUGGAUAAACAGGUCGAGGUUUCUCUCCUCUUUUUCCCCCAUUCCUUUUAUUUUUCCACCCGGUGCAAACAAUAAUAAAUACAGCAAGUCUUAUACUAGAAGAGGACUGAGGAACAGGGAGUCUGUUUUUUGAGUGAGCACAAAUUCAUCUGUCUUGCGGAGCUGAUGCAGUGAUUUAUAAAGAGCGGACAGCCCUGGUUGACGCAGUGAAGAGGUCCUUGAGGAUUCGAGAGCAAGGUUUGCUGGCCAUGGGGAACCUCAUUAAGGUCCUUGGCAAGGAUUUAGAAAACUGUCCUCAUUUUUUCCUGGACUUCGAAAGUAAGUCUCU